GACGAACGCUGGCGGCGUGCCUAAUACAUGCAAGUAGAACGCUGAAGGAGGAGCUUGCUUCUCUGGAUGAGUUGCGAACGGGUGAGUAACGCGUAGGUAACCUGCCUGGUAGCGGGGGAUAACUAUUGGAAACGAUAGCUAAUACCGCAUAAUAGUAGAUGUUGCAUGACAUUUGCUUAAAAGGUGCAAUUGCAUCACUACCAGAUGGACCUGUGUUGUAUUAGCUAGUUGGUGAGGUAACGGCUCACCAAGGCGACGAUACAUAGCCGACCUGAGAGGGUGAUCGGCCACACUGGGACUGAGACACGGCCCAGACUCCUACGGGAGGCAGCAGUAGGGAAUCUUCGGCAAUGGACGGAAGUCUGACCGAGCAACGCCGCGUGAGUGAAGAAGGUUUUCGGAUCGUAAAGCUCUGUUGUAAGAGAAGAACGAGUGUGAGAGUGGAAAGUUCACACUGUGACGGUAUCUUACCAGAAAGGGACGGCUAACUACGUG
This 495-nucleotide ribosomal RNA is filed under the name uncultured bacterium. RNAcentral's name for it is "partial 16S ribosomal RNA". It matches the Rfam family "Bacterial small subunit ribosomal RNA", at positions 28 to 507 of the family's 1533-position model. The record is from RNAcentral.